AUGGACUGGACCUGGAGAAUUCUGUUCCUGGUGGCAGUGGCUGCAGGUGUGAACUCCCAGGUGCAGCUGUUGCAGUCUGGGGCUGAGGUGGGAAAACCUGGGACAUCAGUGAAGAUCUCCUGCAAGGCGUCCGGAUACACCUUUACCAGCUACUAUAUGCACUGGGUGCGGCAGACCCCAGGACAAGGGCUCGAGUGGAUGGGAUGGAUAUACCCUGAUGAUGGUGAUACAAAGUAUGCACAGAAGUUCCAGGGCAGACUCACCUUCACUGCAGACAAGUCCAAGGACACAGCCUACAUGGAACUGAGCAGGCUGAGCACUGAGGACACGGCCAUGUAUUACUGUAAGGACAUUGAACACAUACAAAUCAGGAUGACCUUCAAUUCCUUAAUUCACAAAGAGCAUAAUGUGGGCGAAAGUUCUGACCGAGGUCAAUGCAGAGCACAGAAGCAGGGGCCCGACCUGAGGGUCAGCCUGGGUUGUCAGUGUGACACAGUGUCUGAGAUCAUGGCCCUCAUGGGCAGGAACGUACAUCAGUGCCGGUUCCUCCUCUUUCUGGUGGCAGCUCCCAGAUAUGAGUAUCCUCUGCACAAUGGCUCCAAGGUGGGCCUGGGGCCUCUGGGCCCGUGA
Molecule: non-coding RNA, 630 nt
Organism: Sorex fumeus (smoky shrew)
Lineage: Eukaryota; Metazoa; Chordata; Mammalia; Eulipotyphla; Soricidae
Source: the annotation of a RefSeq genome assembly